CAGAAAGCUACGUUGUCACAGGCUGUACUGCCUACAGUGUGAGCUGAACUAUAUUAUUCCAAAUAGAGUUGAAGAAAACAAAUCACGUUCCUGACUCAAUCUUGUAUCCUGCACAGCCAGACAACGCACGUUCACCUCUUCCUUAAUAAGCAGGAAACUAGGGGCUCUGUGAAUUUGCCAUUCUAUAUCCAGUCUUCAUUUAAAAAUGUCUUUGGUCCCUGAGGGUUAAGAUGCAUUGGGAAAGCUGGAUUGUAUCCAAAACUGUAAGGAUUUAGUCUGUGGGCGUGUGUUCCCCUGGUACAUGUUCUUGGCUUUUAGAAAGAUACUUUGCCACAAAUCACACAAGAUCCUUUAGCCCUCUCCAAACGUUAACC
Pelobates cultripes (western spadefoot toad) is the source of this 374-nucleotide non-coding RNA. The record is from the annotation of a GenBank genome assembly. NCBI's taxonomy places the organism in Eukaryota, Metazoa, Chordata, Amphibia, Anura, Pelobatidae.